This is a long non-coding RNA of Meleagris gallopavo (turkey), 2398 nucleotides long. NCBI's taxonomy places the organism in Eukaryota, Metazoa, Chordata, Aves, Galliformes, Phasianidae. The record is from Ensembl.
AUGGAGGAGAAACGCCUUCCCACGCAAUGUGUGCCCACUGAGUCACUGCAGCCACACCAUAGUGGCACCACCGAGGGAGAGGUUGUUUUAUCCCAAGAAAAGGUCCCUUUAUUUAGCAGCACCUUCACCCUCAACAUGACUUCCAGAGCUGGGAGCACUCCUAGGCCAUGUCUUCUCCCAGAAACACUUUAUUUUUGUGAACACACUCAGAGGGCACCACCGCAGGAGCUUGGGAUCUAUCACAUCAUUGUGACAGCCACAAGGGGUGAGAACAUUGGGUAUUCCAAGAGGGGCACCAGGAUGAGGAUGCAGGUGGCUGUUUCCUUGGAUGGCGCCCAGGAGAUCGGCAAGCUGUGGGCUACAGGAUGCCAAAUCCAUUGGCCCAUCCACCAUAGCAAAUUGAGGAUGCAGGAGGGAUGCUCCAAAGCCGUGGCCAGCAAAGCCCAAGCAGCGAUCCCCACCCUGCUCAGUAUUAGGAAUGGCACCAUCCGGCUCAGUCCCCAGAGAAGUGGGGCACAUCUGCAGAGGGGCCUCCUCCAGAACCAACAGCAGGAGGUGACACAGUGCCCCAGCCCUGUUCCCUGCCUCCAUCACCCCUUUUGCUUGGGCAGGAGCUCCCAUUCAUCCCGCAGCCCCAACACUUCACAGCCCACCGUGCUCCGCCAAUCUUGCAGCUGUAGAUGCAGCCAAAACCCUAGCACCAUGCUUUGCCCUCCUACUGCCAGCUGUGAAAUGCCUGAGAAAGCAGCCCUCGUUCACACUUCGUUACACACACUGCACUUGUCUACAUUUUGACCUGAAGUGUGCUUAUUAACCUUUUUUGUGUGUGUGUAUGAUAAUAGUCCAGCAUCCUUUGUAGGCGAUCUUUCUUUCAAAGAUCUCCUUUUUGAUCUUUUCAUAGGCUAAGCAACAAUUCAUCCUAUAUAAAUCUGGGAUUGAAAGGACGUAAUUUGUUUUUCCUUGCUUUUUUGAAGCGGUGAGAGAUGAAACGACUCAAGGGAAUGUCAGCAGUGGUUAUAUCUUAAUUGGUUUUUCUCUGCAUCAAAAUGCCUUGAACUAUUCACUCGUGCACAGCAGUGCCGUGCGACCUUUCUGCCUCUCCCGACAUGUUGUAGCCCAUCUCCCACUUGAGGUGUUUUCACUGUUCGUGGCACUGACACUAAUUCUGCACCCACCCCUCCUCUUUCUGUCCAGGCAUAUCAAAGACUUUCAAAUGUGCCUUAAGCCAGGAGCGUGAAAAGGAAGAAGGAAGACUAUAUAAUUGGGUGAAAUUAAGAAAAAAAGGAGAGGGAGGGGAGAACAUCUUGCAGCCUUUCCUUCAGCCCACAUGCUGGUUUUCCCCGACGCAGUGGCUGCACGCUGGUGGAUGGGUGCACGUGGCCAACUUGUGCUCCUGCUCUCCUGACCUCAGGAUUUUGCCUGCAAGUGUGAACUUCCCUCUGUUGGCCAAUAAGGCCGAAACACAGGAGUUUCUCUUUUCCCCCUAAAAGUUGGGCAAGUGUGCAACAGCUGCAUUCUGGAGAAUCAUAGGAUUGUUUGAGUUGGAAGGGAUCCUUAAGGGCCAUCUGGUCCAAUUCCCUGCAAUGAGGAGUGACACCUACACUAGGUCAGUUGCUCAGAGCCCCAUCCUGCCUGACUUCGGAUGUCUCCAGGGAUGGGGCAUCCACCACCUCCCUGGGCAACCUGUGCCUUUGCCUCAUCUCCCUUACUGCUAAAGACUUCUUUUUGCUUUGUAGGAUGGUCAUUCAACAGCUCACAAGGAAUAGAGACCAAUGGUCCUUUCCAGCGUCGUGCCAUUCUGUUUAGUUUCUGCCCCACGCAAAUGCAAAAUAUUAUCACACAUAUUAUUUUCCUUUGGGUCAUGUUGCAUAAUGAGCACAUUCCUUUCCAUCCCGCUUCCCUUUCAGCCCUUUAAGCUCUGGUAUCGGCAAUGCUCAACCCGUGGGUGCUGGGGGCAGAGAAGGGGUGAGCAGCAGGUGGACAGCAUUGCUGCAGACCACCCCUUUCAGAGGGAAAAACUCGCUGUCGGGAUUUGGGCUUUUUGCAGGGUGAUAGCAGGAAGGUUGGUGUGAGCUGGCAAUGGGAGCCAGCGCUCACCAGGUUUCAUUCACCUGGGUCGGUGUCUGGAUUCCCACGGUAAAACCCGGCGGGUAAUGAGGCUUGUGCAAGAGCGGGGCGGCUGGGUGGAGCAGCUCGCUUGUGUAAGGGCGAGGUGAACAGGCAGAGAAGGGACCGGUCUGCAGGCAACGCUGGCACUUGGCGAACAGCUCAGCCUUCAUUCACAGGAUGCUUCAUUAACAGCGCACAGCCUUGGAGGGGUUCAUUCAGGUAUUUAGAUCCUCGCUUUGAACGCUUGUCAGACCUGAGUGGCUGACGGCCCAUGAGAGGAGGGAGGUAU